AAGCGCACUACCACGACGCCCAGCGUUAUCCCCGUCGUCUCUAUAUAUACCCGCCCUCCUGCCAGAUUGUAAAGGUCGUGAAACACAGCCAGCAACAGCAAGAACAAGAGCAGGAAUAUAUCCAUCCAUAUACAGCAGCAAGCAUACCUUCCUCGCCUUUCUCCUUGAGGUUCAUCGCAGAAACAAGAAACUCGCAGCCAUGGACAGAUCUGCUGUUUCUCAGGCCCUUCCGGUGCACCAGGAAGACGAGGACCUGUUCGAGACCUCCUCCUCCUUCUCCUGCGACUCCGACGACGAGGCCCAGUUCUCAGACGGCGAGGACCAGUUUGUGCCGGCUUCCCCGCCGGUGCGGAGACUCAACUCUGACAGCGUCUACGAUCUGUCGUCCAUGAAGGCCGAACUCUCCGCCAAGAAAGGGUUGUCGAAAUACUACGACGGAAAGUCCCAGUCGUUCGCGUGCAUGUCCGAGGUGAGAUGCCUGGAGGACCUGCCCAAGAAGAGCCCCUACAAGAAGAUCAAGUCGUGCAGGAGCAACAUCGAUCUGGAUGGGAACCAGAAAGCCUACCCCUUACCUGGUUCUAACAACAGCAAAGGAAUCGCCAAGCAGAACUCUGCGAGCUCCUGCGCGAAUCUGAUGAUGGCGCGGACCAGCAGCGCCAACAUGCUCUACAGGCCUCCCGCGAUCCCUGUCAACAAGAGCGCGUGCCAUCAGUAGGGCUCGCGGCUGCAAAUGUCUGUCCAUGGCUGGCCUCGCGCCUCUUCGUUGUUCCUUGUUGAGGAUUUUUCUUGGCGGGCGUAUUAGCCUGUCAAAUGUAAAGAGGCUUUUGCUUCUCUCAUGUUCUUCAGGAAGACAUUGAUUGAUUCAGUCUGUAAAUACAGAGACCGGUUGUAUACCAAACAUUUCUAUUGAUGCGUGCCCCCUCCACCGCACG
This 932-nucleotide ribosomal RNA is filed under the name Triticum aestivum (bread wheat). RNAcentral describes it as "partial small subunit ribosomal RNA". Lineage: Eukaryota; Viridiplantae; Streptophyta; Magnoliopsida; Poales; Poaceae. The record is from RNAcentral.